GCGCCUGUAGCUCAGUAGGAUAGAGCAGCGGUUUCCUAAACCGCGGGUCGCGGGUUCGAAUCCUGCCAGGCGCGCCA
Molecule: transfer RNA, 77 nt
Filed under: Candidatus Aerophobota bacterium
Lineage: Bacteria; Candidatus Aerophobota
Also listed under: 1 other name
Description: tRNA-Arg
Rfam family: tRNA
About the family: Transfer RNA (tRNA) molecules are approximately 80 nucleotides in length. Their secondary structure includes four short double-helical elements and three loops (D, anti-codon, and T loops). Further hydrogen bonds mediate the characteristic L-shaped molecular structure. tRNAs have two regions of fundamental functional importance: the anti-codon, which is responsible for specific mRNA codon recognition, and the 3' end, to which the tRNAs corresponding amino acid is attached (by aminoacyl-tRNA synthetases). tRNAs cope with the degeneracy of the genetic code in two manners: having more than one tRNA (with a specific anti-codon) for a particular amino acid; and 'wobble' base-pairing, i.e. permitting non-standard base-pairing at the 3rd anti-codon position.
Source: RNAcentral